UAUCUCUGUAGAGUCUGCAUAUCAAUAAGCGGAGGAAAAGAAACUAACUAGGAUUCCCUUCAGUAACGGCGAGUGAAGCGGGAAGAGCUCAAAUUUGAAAUCUUCAAGGUUCUACCUUGACGAAUUGUAGUUUAAAGAAGUGUUUUCUGUUGGAGUUUUGGUAAAAGUUCUUUGGAAUAGGACAUCAUAGAGGGUGAGAAUCCCGUAUUUGACCAUUAUUUCCAACUUUGUGAUACACUUUCAAAGAGUCGGAUUGUUUGGGAAUGCAGUCCAAGAUGGGUGGUAAAUUUCAUCUAAAGCUAAAUACUGGCGAGAGACCGAUAGCGAACAAGUACCGUGAGGGAAAGAUGAAAAGAACUUUGAAAAGAGAGUUAAACAGUACGUGAAAUUGUCAAAAGGGAAGCGUUUGACACCAGUGUUGUUUUUUCGAAAAUCAAUUAAAAAGAAGUUGGAUUUUGUAUUGUUAAGACCUUAUCAGCUUACUGUACCUUUUUCUUGCUCUUUUUAAUGCACUUUUCGUUUAACAAGUCAACAUCAAUUUCUUUUGCUGUAAAAGAGUCAUUGGAAGGUGGCUUUCUUUUCGGAGAAAGUGUUUAUAGCCUUUGACUCCUGCAAUCGGAGAGACUGAGGUCUGCAGCGUAGAUCCUUCUUGGAUUAGAUUCAUUUGUGCUAAGUUAUAGCUUUUCAUAGACAACUUGUUGACUAUGUUUAGUCUUGUAGCUUACUCGCUUAUGUAAUUUUACCUACGCUUAGGAUGUUGAUCUCUCACAGUCGAGC
Molecule: ribosomal RNA, 777 nt
Filed under: uncultured Neocallimastigales
Lineage: Eukaryota; Fungi; Neocallimastigomycota; Neocallimastigomycetes; Neocallimastigales
Description: partial large subunit ribosomal RNA
Rfam family: Eukaryotic large subunit ribosomal RNA
Source: RNAcentral